This 497-nucleotide ribosomal RNA is filed under the name uncultured bacterium. Its description in RNAcentral is "partial 16S ribosomal RNA". It matches the Rfam family "Bacterial small subunit ribosomal RNA", at positions 28 to 507 of the family's 1533-position model. The record is from RNAcentral.
GACGAACGCUGGCGGCGUGCCUAAUACAUGCAAGUAGAACGCUGACGAGAGGAGCUUACUCUUCUUGGAUGAGUUGCGAACGGGUGAGUAACGCGUAGGUAACCUGCCUUGUAGCGGGGGAUAACUAUUGGAAACGAUAGCUAAUACCGCAUAACAAUGGAUGACACAUGUCAUUUAUUUGAAAGGGGCAAUUGCUCCACUACAAGAUGGACCUGCGUUGUAUUAGCUAGUAGGUGAGGUAAUGGCUCACCUAGGCGACGAUACAUAGCCGACCUGGGAGGGUGAUCGGGCAACCUGGGACUGGGGCACCGCCCAAGCUCCUACGGGAGGCAGCAGUAGGGAAUCUUCGGCAAUGGGGGCAACCCUGACCGAGCAACGCCGCGUGAGUGAAGGAGGUUUUCGGAUCGUAAAGCUCUGUUGUAAGUCAAGAACGGGUGUGAGGGUGGAAAGUUCACACUGUGACGGUAGCUUACCAGAAAGGGACGGCUAACUACGUG